This 861-nucleotide ribosomal RNA is filed under the name uncultured bacterium. RNAcentral describes it as "bacterial SSU rRNA". It matches the Rfam family "Bacterial small subunit ribosomal RNA", at positions 58 to 916 of the family's 1533-position model. The record is from RNAcentral.
CAAGUCGAACGCGAAAGCGGGGCAACCCGCAAGUAGAGUGGCGAACGGGUGAGUAAUACAUCGGAACGUAUCCAGUAGCGGGGGAUAACCUGUCGAAAGAUAGGCUAAUACCGCAUACGAUCUACGGAUGAAAGCGGGGGACCGCAAGGCCUCGCACUAUUGGAGCGGCCGAUGUCGGAUUAGCUAGUUGGUGGGGUAAAAGCUCACCAAGGCGACGAUCCGUAGCUGGUCUGAGAGGACGAUCAGCCACACUGGAACUGAGACACGGUCCAGACUCCUACGGGAGGCAGCAGUGGGGAAUUUUGGACAAUGGGCGCAAGCCUGAUCCAGCCAUGCCGCGUGAGUGAAGAAGGCCUUCGGGUUGUAAAGCUCUUUCGGUGAAGACGAAACGGUUCGUGCCAAUACCACGGACUAAUGACGGUACUCACAGAAGAAGCACCGGCUAACUACGUGCCAGCAGCCGCGGUAAUACGUAGGGUGCAGGCGUUAAUCGGAAUUACUGGGCGUAAAGCGUGCGCAGGCGGUUUGUUAAGACAGGUGUGAAAUCCCCGGGCUUAACCUGGGAAUUGCGCUUGUAACUGGCAAGCUAGAGUGUGGCAGAGGGGGGUGGAAUUCCACGUGUAGCAGUGAAAUGCGUAGAUAUGUGGAGGAACACCGAUGGCGAAGGCAGCCCCCUGGGUUAACACUGACGCUCAUGCACGAAAGCGUGGGGAGCAAACAGGAUUAGAUACCCUGGUAGUCCACGCCCUAAACUAUGUCAACUGGUUGUCGGGGAAGAAAUUCCUUGGUAACGAAGCUAACGCGUGAAGUUGACCGCCUGGGGAGUACGGCCGCAAGGUUAAAACUCAAAGGAAUUGACGG